CAGAGGUCCCGAGCGUGCUCGGAUUUACUGGGCGUAAAGGGUGUGUAGGAGGUCGGAAAAGUCGAAUGUGAAAUCCCUCUGCCUAACGGAGGAACUGCGUUCGAAACUGUCUGGCUAGAGGUUCGGAUGGGGAAGCGGAACUCUCGGUGUAGCAGUGAAAUGCGUAGAUAUCGAGAGGAACACCGGUGGCGAAGGCGGCUUCCUGGACGAAACCUGACUCUGAAACACGAAAGCUAGGGGAGCAAACGGGAUUAGAUACCCCGGUAGUCCUAGCUGUAAACGGUGUGCGUUAGGUGUUGGCGGAUUCGACCCCGCCGGUGCCGAAGCUAACGCAUUAAACGCACCGCCUGAGGAGUACGGUCGCAAGGCUAAAACUCAAAGAAAUUGACGGGGGCCCGCACAAGCGGUGGAGCAUGUGGCUUAAUUCGAUGCAACGCGAAGAACCUUACCUGGCCUUGACAUGCAGCGUUCAGUCCCGGAAACGGGAUGGCCCGCAAGGGCGAGCUGCACAGGUGCUGCAUGGCUGUCGUCAGCUCGUGUCGUGAGAUGUUGGGUUAAGUCCCGCAACGAGCGCAACCCUUGUCAUUAGUUGCUACGCAAGAGCACUCUAAUGAGACCGCCGGUGACAAACCGGAGGAAGGUGGGGAUGACGUCAAGUCCUCAUGGCCCUUAUGGGUAGGGCUACACACGUCAUACAAUGGGCGGUACAGAGGGUUGCCAACCCGCGAGGGGGAGCCAAUCCCUUAAAACCGCUCGUAGUCCGGAUUGUAGUCUGCAACUCGACUGCAUGAAGUCGGAAUCGCUAGUAAUCGCGGAUCAGCUUGCCGCGGU
Molecule: ribosomal RNA, 831 nt
Filed under: uncultured bacterium
Lineage: Bacteria
Description: bacterial SSU rRNA
Rfam family: Bacterial small subunit ribosomal RNA
Source: RNAcentral